AAGGAUUUAAGUUAAUAAACCCAAACUAAUAGCCUUCAAAGCUAUAAACAAAGAAAGCUUUAAGCCUUA
RNAcentral lists this transfer RNA (69 nucleotides) under Loricera pilicornis. Its description in RNAcentral is "tRNA-Trp". The record is from RNAcentral. Lineage: Eukaryota; Metazoa; Arthropoda; Insecta; Coleoptera; Carabidae.